UAGGGAAUCUUCCACAAUGGGCGAAAGCCUGAUGGAGCAACGCCGCGUGUGUGAUGAAGGGUUUCGGCUCGUAAAACACUGUUGUAAGAGAAGAAUGACAUUGAGAGUAACUGUUCAAUGUGUGACGGUAUCUUACCAGAAAGGAACGGCUAAAUACGUGCCAA
This 164-nucleotide ribosomal RNA is filed under the name uncultured bacterium. Its description in RNAcentral is "partial 16S ribosomal RNA". It matches the Rfam family "Bacterial small subunit ribosomal RNA", at positions 355 to 511 of the family's 1533-position model. The record is from RNAcentral.